GACGAACGCUGGCGGCGUGCCUAAUACAUGCAAGUAGAACGCUGAAGGAGGAGCUUGCUCUUCUGGAUGAGUUGCGAACGGGUGAGUAACGCGUAGGUAACCUGCCUGGUAGCGGGGGAUAACUAUUGGAAACGAUAGCUAAUACCGCAUAAGAGUAGAUGUUGCAUGACAUUUGCUUAAAAGGUGCAAUUGCAUCACUACCAGAUGGACCUGCGUUGUAUUAGCUAGUUGGUGGGGUAACGGCUCACCAAGGCGACGAUACAUAGCCGACCUGAGAGGGUGGUCGGCCCAACUGGGACUGAGACACGGCCCAGACUCCUACGGGAGGGAGCAGUAGGGAAACUUUGGAAAUGGACGGAAGUCUGACCGAGCAACGCCGCGUGAGUGAAGAAGGUUUUCGGAUCGGAAAGCUCUGUUGUAAGAGAAGAACGAGUGUGAGAGUGGAAAGUUCACACUGUGACGGUAGCUUACCAGAAAGGGACGGCUAACUACGUG
RNAcentral lists this ribosomal RNA (495 nucleotides) under uncultured bacterium. RNAcentral's name for it is "partial 16S ribosomal RNA". It matches the Rfam family "Bacterial small subunit ribosomal RNA", at positions 28 to 507 of the family's 1533-position model. The record is from RNAcentral.